RNAcentral lists this ribosomal RNA (433 nucleotides) under uncultured bacterium. Its description in RNAcentral is "partial 16S ribosomal RNA". It matches the Rfam family "Bacterial small subunit ribosomal RNA", at positions 29 to 507 of the family's 1533-position model. The record is from RNAcentral.
AACGAACGCUGGCGGCAUGCCUAACACAUGCCAGUCGAACGAGACCUUCGGGUCUAGUGGCGCACGGGUGCGUAACGCGUGGGAACCUGCCCUUAGGUUCGGAAUAACUCCCCGAAAGGGGUGCUAAUACCGGAUAAUGUCUUCGGACCAAAGAUUUAUCGCCUUUGGAUGGGCCCGCGUUGGAUUAGCUAGUUGGUAGGGUAAAAGCCUACCAAGGCGACGAUCCAUAGCUGGUCUGAGAGGAUGAUCAGCCACACUGGGACUGAGACACGGCCCAGACUCCUACGGGAGGCAGCAGUGGGGAAUAGUGGACAAUGGGCGAAAGCCUGAUCCAGCAAUGCCGCGUGAGUGAUGAAGGCAUUAGGGUUGUAAAGCUCUUUUAACCGGGAUGAUAAUGACAGUACCGGGAGAAUAAGCUCCGGCUAACUCCGUG